ACGUUGGAUACUGGAGCGGGGAAGGAUUUCGUGCCAACGGCACUCGUACACGAGUUGUUCGGAUACUGAGCACAACGUUACACCGUUUUGUUAGGAAAGUGAAGGUGCGUCGGCGGCGUGCGUUUUUUUUUUGCUUUUUUUUUUUUUUUUAAAAAAAAAAAAAAAAAAGGCGCCCCCCCCUGGGCCUUUUUGAAAAGGGGGAAAAAA
This 207-nucleotide ribosomal RNA is filed under the name Trypanosoma caninum. RNAcentral describes it as "partial large subunit ribosomal RNA". Lineage: Eukaryota; Euglenozoa; Kinetoplastea; Trypanosomatida; Trypanosomatidae. The record is from RNAcentral.